CCUAGCAAAAAAAAAUGCAAGGUUGAAAGAUGGUUUCGGCUAUCACUUUAGGAUGGACCCGCGGUGCAUUAGUUAGUUGGUGAGGUAAAGGCUCACCAAGACCGUGAUGCAUAGCCGACCUGAGAGGGUAAUCGGCCACACUGGGACUGAGACACGGCCCAGACUCCUACGGGAGGCAGCAGUAGGGAAUCUUCCACAAUGGACGAAAGUCUGAUGGAGCAACGCCGCGUGAGUGAAGAAGGUUUUCGGAUCGUA
This 255-nucleotide ribosomal RNA is filed under the name uncultured bacterium. RNAcentral's name for it is "partial 16S ribosomal RNA". It matches the Rfam family "Bacterial small subunit ribosomal RNA", at positions 180 to 427 of the family's 1533-position model. The record is from RNAcentral.